CACAGCCUUACAUAUACAGACGCGAAAGCAAAAAGGUCUUCACUACCGGUGUACGAUAACAUAUGGUUGAAACCAUAGAAAUUCGUUUAUUUACGAUUUGAAUUUAUGCUUAAUUAGACUUUUGUUUCGUGUCGUGACCCAUAUGCGAACUAGCAUUACCAACCGUUACGUUUAAUCGGACAAAUCCGAAAAGUACCGAGAGAGAGGCAUGUAUGGAAUAGCUAUAUAGGCGAAGAAGAGAAAAGGAAGAAAGGAAGGAAGGGAAAAAAGGAGAAAUAAUAAGUUCUCCGUUUGAAGUUUCAAAUUUUAUAUAGUAUAUAGAAUCCGGACUGUAUACUAUGUAGUGUGUAAUGUGUAGCUACCGACCACCAUCUGUCGUCCGACUAUAGAUACUAAUCUUCAGUGGUGAAGAGAUAAAGGGCGAAGCUGGAGAUGGCGCUUUGUCUUAGCCGCCCCUUGGCAUUCCUUCGUUCGAGGCAACUUCAACCCAGGAAUUAUAAUCACCCCACGGUAUCCUCCGAAUAUUUAGACCUUCGUAGACAAUUUUUACAGCCGGGAAGAAGAUUAUACCAGGGAGAAAGAAAGAAAGAUAUGUACAAAGAGAAAGAGCGAGAGAGAGAGAGGAAGAGAGGGAACAGGAGGAAUGAAGCAGAAUCGACCUGAACCGUGGAGAAAGAGAGAAGGGAACCAGGAGCACCUGCGCGUUCCGCCUUCGACCACAUUCUUUGUGAUUUCCUCAAGAAAAAUAGCUUGGAAUUCUCGGCUACUUUCGACUCAAUAGAAUCGGAAGAAGUGAAAAUAUGUCGGAGGAAUCACGGACGCAGUUACUGCACACCGGUUCCAGGAAACAUCGUCGGAUUGGAACUUUAAGUGGAUCUUAGAGAAAUGAUGGAUUCCAGAUUACGACAAAUACUACAUCAUCGACGACUUUCUUUGUUCUUACGAUCUGGUCCAGAGGUAUCUUUCGACCUCGUCCAAAAAGAGAUACUGACAAUCACGUACAAAGAGCUAUCCUGACAUGAUCGCAAUAUUAUUCAUUACGGUUCUGGGGUAUCGUAUAGUUCAUCUCGCACACAGUGGUAUGCCUAAACCGUACGUGACACAGGUAGCGAAUUUUUCGUGGACCAAAAUUUCUUCUUUUUCAGAAAUAUUUUGCACAGACUUUGUUGUCUCACUGUGCUUUCAUGCCACUUUAAUUAGAGAAUGAAUACUAUACAUAUAUCCCACUAUAUAGUAAAUUACACGUGUAAAUUAUCAAUAAAAUUUUAAGCACAAACCUAGAAAUCUUGGAAUGCAUACAUGCCACUUACAAAUAAUUUGAAUUUCUCUACUAUCCCAAUUAGAAAUUUACGAACAUCUUAUUCAACUCUCAUUAUAUACGAAAUUAAAUAUGUAAGUUACCAAUGAAAUUUUAAACACAAGUUUACGAAAUUUUGAAUUCAUAUACACCACACAGAUUUAUUUAUAAAUAAUUU
This is a long non-coding RNA of Bombus pyrosoma, 1475 nucleotides long. RefSeq lists it as uncharacterized. The record is from RefSeq and is a predicted model, not a curated record. The transcript is spliced from 3 exons. Lineage: Eukaryota; Metazoa; Arthropoda; Insecta; Hymenoptera; Apidae.